Molecule: ribosomal RNA, 500 nt
Filed under: uncultured bacterium
Lineage: Bacteria
Description: partial 16S ribosomal RNA
Rfam family: Bacterial small subunit ribosomal RNA
Source: RNAcentral
AUUGAACGCUGGCGGAAUGCUUUACACAUGCAAGUCGAACGGCAGCACGGACUUCGGUCUGUUGGCGAGUGGCGAACGGGUGAGGAAUGUAUCGGAACGUGCCCAGUCGUGGGGGAUAACGUAGUGAAAAUUACGCUAAUACCGCAUACGAUCUAUGGAUGAAAGCGGGGGAUCGCAAGACCUCGCUGGAUUGGAGCGGUCGAUAUCAGAUUAGGUAGUUGGUGGGGUAAAGGCCCACCAAGCCAACGAUCUGUAGCUGGUCUGAGAGGACGACCAGCCACACUGGAACUGAGACACGGUCCAGACUCCUACGGGAGGCAGCAGUGGGGAAUUUUGGACAAUGGGCGAAAGCCUGAUCCAGCCAUUCCGCGUGCAGGAUGAAGGCCCUCGGGUUGUAAACUGCUUUUGUACAGAACGAAAAGGUUUCUACUAAUACUAGGAGCUCAUGACGGUACUGUAAGAAUAAGCACCGGCUAACUACGUGCCAGCAGCCGCCGCCG